Molecule: unclassified non-coding RNA, 235 nt
Filed under: Hevea brasiliensis (rubber tree)
Lineage: Eukaryota; Viridiplantae; Streptophyta; Magnoliopsida; Malpighiales; Euphorbiaceae
Source: RNAcentral
AAGAUUUGGGGGUUUGGGAGGGGGGGGCGCGCACGGCGCUGGGUGGUGGAUUGAGAUGACUUAGGAUAUUUUACAUAUAAGAAGAAAAUUUAGUUAGAGCCUAGAGGAUACUUUAUUGGGAAUAUACAAAUGUGGAAUUCCCACAUCGGAAAAAAAUGGGAUAAGUAAGAGACAUAUAAGUGGGAAAGACCCAUAAACCCAUUGCCUUAAGGUUUUAAGUUGAAUGUGGUGUCAA